Molecule: ribosomal RNA, 274 nt
Filed under: uncultured bacterium
Lineage: Bacteria
Description: partial 16S ribosomal RNA
Rfam family: Bacterial small subunit ribosomal RNA
Source: RNAcentral
AUACGUAGGGCGCAAGCGUUGCUCGGAUUCACUGGGCGUAAAGCGCGCGCAGGCGGCUUGAUAAGUUGGAUGUGAAAGUCUACGGCUCAACCGUAGAACUGCAUCCAAAACUGUCAAGCUAGAGUCUGGGAGGGGAAGAUGGAAUUAGUUGUGUAGGGGUAAAAUCCGUAGAGAUAACUAGGAAUACCAAAAGCGAAGGCGAUCUUCUGGAACAGUACUGACGCUGAGGCGCGAAAGCGUGGGGAGCAAACAGGAUUAGAAACCCCAGUAGUCC